Long non-coding RNA from Heterocephalus glaber (naked mole-rat), 2141 nucleotides. RefSeq lists it as uncharacterized. Lineage: Eukaryota; Metazoa; Chordata; Mammalia; Rodentia; Bathyergidae. The record is from RefSeq and is a predicted model, not a curated record.
CUUUCUUCGUGCUGAGGAUUGAACCCAGGGCCUCUGGCUGCCCCAGUUUUAAGGCAGGACCUCCUGCAAGUGCGGGAACCUAGCUCAUCGGGGGACCUUUGCAUUUAACCUUGUAGAUAAUGUAUGAUAUAUGUGUGAUAUAUGAAUAAUAGGUCUAAGGAGGGGCAGAGACAGUGCCCUAAGAGACAGCAGGGAGAAGACUACUGCCUCCCAUCUGCUGCUGAGUUCAAGACCAUCCCUUUUCCAGAGAUCAAACGGCUAACAAAGGAAGAUGAGCCCAGGAGGUGGAAGCCCAUGUGUUCAGAUCUCUCCACAGCCUUGACCUCCAGAGUUUACAGACUUAUUUUGUAAUUUGGCCUUGUAACAAACUGCCAUGCUGUGGAUGUCUUAUUUCCUCCUCUCUACAUAUAUUUCUGUGUAAUAGCACCAUCUAACAAGACUCCCAAAUUCAAAUUAAGGGAAAAGAAAAUCAGUACCUAUAUGGCACCUAAUAUUUGCCAGAUAAUUUGCAAUCUACAUGUCCUUGAAUCCCGCCAUCCUGGGCAUACUAGUUAUCUACUACUGGAGAAUAAGCCAUACCAACAUUUAUUGCCUCAUGAAUGGGCUAGUCAACAAAUUUAGGUGAACUGGCUGUAAAGAGAGGCACCUUGUUUCACCUUCCCUUGAUGUCUCAUUAGCUCUAGGCUAAUGCGGGCUUGUACUCUUGGACACAGCAGUUCUGAAAGAACAAGCAUAUGCAUUCAGGAUCUUUCCAGCUUAGGUACCAAACUAACACAUCUCAAAGAGCUUUCUAUGGGCCAUAGCAAAUAAGGCCAGCCCAGAAUCUAGGUCUGGGGAAGAGAUUCUGCAUCUCAAUGGGAAUAGCAAUAAGACACAUUGCCAAGGUCAUGGAUACAGGAAAGAAGAAAUGCUGACAUGCUUUCAAUCAGUAGCAUUCUACCUUUCCUUAUAGAUGAAGUUUACAUAACUGUUUCAAGUCAAAGAACUUGUCUAAAGCCUCACAAUUUAAGCAGCUUGGCUAAGACUCAGAAUCAACUCUGCCUGACUCCAAAGCCCAAACAUCCAUGACUCAAAUUCCUAAAAGUCACUUCCUUUGUGCUUUUAGGUCUUAGACAGUGACACUUAUUGAUUUGUGUCCAUCUAGUACUCCUCACCAUUGGGAAUGUUAUCCUUUGAAAGAAUGCUUCUGAAGCAUCUAGGAAGGACUUGGAAUAAUCUGGGGAAAUGGCUGAUAACUGAAUUUAGGAAACUGAGGACCAAAAAUAUAUUUUUCAUUUCUCAUCAUAGGAGAAAUCUGAAAAUUUGUGUAAUGGAUCCCAUGGGCAUGCAAAUUCUUUUCAUCCUUUUUGGCAUUUGCAGGCUACUUAUUAUUUUCAACACAAACAAAACCAAACUACUGUGCCUGAAACAUCUUCCUCUGAAAAUAACAUAAAGAGAGAUGUGGAAUGUCUGCUGAGAACACAUUUUCUCCUGCUGAAAUUUAGCCACACAGGUAUUUUAUGCUGCUUCUCUUCUGGAUCAGCUACAGUUGGAUGCUUAAUAGGACUACUUCCUUGCGUGUUACCUAAGCAUGACUAUUUCCUGGGGCCAAGGAUUUGUGCCUGCAGUUGCUUAGUCUUCACUGCUCCCUGAGGAACGGCUAUAGGAAUCUGUGGGGGAUUUCAAGUCUCUUCUUCCCCAUCCUAGAUAAAGAGAACAUCCUCCAAAUUCCAAAUUUAACCUGACAUCUUCUGCUUCUCAGAACCUCAGCACCAGUCCACCAUCCGGCCAACUCAUCCUGGUCCUGCAGUCUGGGCUGUGCCCGCCAUCCCAACAAGCCGGCCUCUCCCCAGGUCCUGCUACGCCCCUGCUUGUGGGCAAGCUGCUGCUCAAGCUUUCGCUUUACGCACUGGCAUUUCGUCUGUCUCUCCGUGUUUCAGAGAAAAUGAAGUCUCCUGUACAUCCCUCAUUCCCUUUGGUGUUUUAGAAUGAUUUCCACAAAGAGGAGAAAAUGCUAACUUCAAACUCCACUCCCACCCGGGAAUCGGACCCACUCAAUAUAGAGUUCAGGACUGUGGGAACCGGGGAAGAGACUGCUGAGAACAGCCCAGCACAGCCCCAUGAGCUAGGCUCUUUCUACCCAGCCUCCUUCCCAGGACACA